Tripterygium wilfordii is the source of this 2914-nucleotide long non-coding RNA. RefSeq lists it as uncharacterized. Lineage: Eukaryota; Viridiplantae; Streptophyta; Magnoliopsida; Celastrales; Celastraceae. The transcript has 4 exons. The record is from RefSeq and is a predicted model, not a curated record.
UAUAGUUCCCAUAAAUUCUCAACACAUGUACACUUCUGAAGAUGAACAAGAUGAGAAAACCUACAACAUAUUUCACAACCAUUACACUCAUGGUAUUCCAUUCAAGGUAUAUAGCUUUUAGUGUUCAAUUCGGGUUCUUUUGGUUGCUUGGCCUGCUGAUAUUUUGUAUAUUGGGUUCAAGUGUUCAACACGGAAGUAUCUCUUUCAGAGAGCUUGCAAAAGAUUUAGCUGAAAGGGGUGUCAUUGUAUUCGCAGAUCUGGAGCAUGUUAUCCUGAAAAGUAGUUCAUUUCUUCUCUGUAUUGCUUACAUCUCUAGAUCUCUCCAUCAUGGUCAAUAAUUGUCUUUGGUUUGGUUCUACAUGCAGAAAUCCAGUUCAUAGUUCUUACACUAUCGUCUUUCUUCAUGGUUUUUCAUUGUCUUCUCAUUUUUCUUUAUCGAUUGUUUGUGUUGAUAUCUCUCCUUUUUUCCUAAAGGUUUCAAAGUCAAAGUCCCAAUGUCCUUCCUGUGCCUGCAAAAUUUUGGUGAGUUAUGUACUUUCUUCUUUCAUUUUUUAUGUGGAUUAUCUGUCGUUGUUUUGGUCAACUUAGUUUCAAUUGCAAGCUUUUUUGUAGAACAUACACUGAUCAAUUGGACUUCAUCUAAUUUCUUCAGGUAUUAAUCAAAAGAUAAGCUCUUUUUUCUAUAUUGUAAACCAAAAAAAAGCUUAUUGCAGGAUCGUUACUGCAAAAAAAAAGGGGAUUAGAUGAGAGCUAUCUCAUAUACAAGUGGUGAAGUGCCUUCUCAGGUUUCCAAUUACCUGCCCAAAUGAUCAAAUGGGUAACAGGUCAGGUUGGCAUGCAGGAAGAAGCAAGUAGAUUAAAUGGGUCAUCUCCAAAACACCUAUUAAGUAAGCUUUUGUGUAUCUUUUUGACCUUUUUUCCUGGGAAAUAUGCAACUUUGAAACUCAAUUUCUAAUUUUUUGGGGGUGGUUUAUGUUGUUUCGUUACAACGGGUUUUUGGCUUGGUUCAUGUACGUACAUAGCCUUAAAAUCUCACCAAAUGUAGUUUUCUGAAUGGAAAACAACAACUCUCAAAGUGCAUAUAGAUGUGAAAUUAGCUCUUAUGAACAUUGGCUUUGUUCUUUUUAACGAGGCUACUGCUUAAGGUACGUUAUCUUUUCAGGGCUUUUUCUCCCCAAUUUUUCUUCCUGAAAGGAGUGCAUUUAUAUGUCAUCAAAUAAUAAAUUGGAAAUGGUGUAGAGAAGGCUAUCCUUCAUACUACUUGGAAGAACUUGCUCAAAUUUAACGUCUUUUCAGCUAUUCGAUGGAGAUUUGAUGGAGAACACAAAGCAUGAACCGUGGCACUUGAAAAUCAUCUAAAUUUGAGUUUUAUUGCUUGAAUUUUGCUUCUUCUGAGCUCAAAUGAGGGUUUUGUAAGCCAUUGUUCAUUGUUCAAAUGAGGGUUUUUUCAUGUAUCUGUACCGUGUUUCCUCAGAUUUGGUUCCUUUGCUUUGCCACUUGGUAUACCGAUGUUGUAGUGCUGCGUUUGGUUAUUUAUCAACGAUUAAUCGUGUGUCUAAUGUUAGUGACCUUCAAUAUAAGAUUUACUUACUGCCUAUGUCUUAUAUAUCAGUUUACCAUUGCCUAAUGCAGGUGUGUUAGAUAGAUUGAUGAAAUGUAGAGUAAUAGUUGUCAUCAGAGCUUGAUCUAUAUGCUCUAUUUCUGUCUAUUUCUUUUCUUUUGUGAAAGUAACUUCUGCAAAUGUGAGUUUUAUGAUACCUAUGCGUGGCUAUGUGUGGUUGAGAUAUGAAUUGCAAUUAGAAAUUUCAUAUAAGCUUUUAUGUAUUUUCCAAUGAAUUUACUUUGCCUUUCAGCUGGAAUUUACUUUGCCUUUGGUAUGCCCUUAAGUCAAUCGUUUUGCAGCUUCCAUAGGAUAUUGAGUGGCAUUUUAUUGGGAAUUUGCUGAGCAAUAAACUGAAACCUUUAUUAACUGGUGUGGGAAACCUUGGCAUGGUAGAGAGUGUAGACGAUGAGAAGCCAUUUGUACAACAACGAGAGAACAGUCAACUGAAACUGACCCAACUUGAUCAAUAGCUACAGCAAGGUCAUAAAUGGCACUGAUGUUGUAUCUUAAAUCUCAAGAUAAGGUAAUUAGAUAAUUUAUUUACUGGGUGAUUGAACUUCUGAUAAGUUGAGGGUGUUUUUCACAGGUUUAUAAAUUGGGUUUAACCACUUGGUAUUGUGUGUUGAUUCAUCUAUCUCUGCAGACUUGACUCAAUAAGUUUGCAUCAUGUGUAUUUUUAUCAGCUUUUCUUUCUAGAUCAUCCAGUAUAUGGACCAUUGAGCGAGGGCUGGAAGCACAAAGGCAGUAUGCAGUUCAUGUCAGCUUUAUCGCUACUACAUGUUUCUUAAAUCUUUGGACUUAAGGUAUAUAGGAUUUCUAUUUUCGUAUGCCUAUGUCAUCCAAUUUAGUAAUACGCAUUAUUACUUAACCUGCAUAGUUGCUCCUAAAGUCAUAGAUGCUUGAGUUAUUUUUCCUACUGUUUACUUUCUCUAUGAUUGCAUAUGAGUUGCCCACUUACUUUAUUUUGUCUUUUUAUCAACUUAUUUGCAUUAUUAGCUUUUCAAUGCUAUUCAGUGUUUCCUCCAUGAAGCAUGUGGCAUCUAUGUAUCAUGUUCUCUAUUUCAUGGAUCUUCGACGGGUCAAGUGAGUAAAGUCGAUGCAGUUUAUGAGUUGCUUUUCCAGCUAUGCAGUAACAUGGACAGAUGAAUACAAGGAUGAAGGUCAAAGAAGUGGAUCAACAACAAAUCAGUUUCCAUCAUGAUCUUUUAUUUACUUCGUCUUCCUGUUCUUUCUUCAACUGAUAAUACAGAUGAUUACUAAUCUUUAUUAAUGAAGUCUUGCCAAAUAUGUUUGCAAAAGUGGUAUGCUUAU